AUUGAACGCUGGCGGCAGGCCUAACACAUGCAAGUCGAACGAGUGGCGGACGGGUGAGUAAUGUCUGGGAAACUGCCUGAUGGAGGGGGAUAACUACUGGAAACGGUAGAUAAUACCGCAUACCAACGGAUGUGCCCAGAGGGGAUUAGCUAGUGGGUGGGGUAAAGGCUCACCUAGGCGACGAUCCCAAGCUGGUCUGAGAGGAAGACCCGCCACCCUGGAACUGAGACACGGUCCAGACUCCUACGGGAGGCAGCAGUGGGGAAUAUUGCACAAUGGGCGCAAGCCUGAUGCAGCCAUGCCGCGUGUAUGAAGAAGGCCUUCGGGUUGUAAAGUACUUUCGGCGGGGAGGCGUUACCCGCAGAAUAAGCACCGGCUAACUCCGUGCCAGCAGCCGCGGUAAUAC
This 406-nucleotide ribosomal RNA is filed under the name uncultured bacterium. RNAcentral describes it as "partial 16S ribosomal RNA". It matches the Rfam family "Bacterial small subunit ribosomal RNA", at positions 30 to 526 of the family's 1533-position model. The record is from RNAcentral.